CCUACGGGUGGCAGCAGUGAGGAAUAUUGGUCAAUGGGCGGAAGCCUGAACCAGCCAAGUCGCGUGAGGGAUUAAGGCCCUGUGGGUCGUAAACCUCUUUUGCCGGGGAGCAGAGGUCCGGACGUGUCCGGGCCGGGAGAGUACCCGGAGAAAAAGCAUCGGCUAACUCCGUGCCAGCAGCCGCGGUAAUACGGAGGAUGCGAGCGUUAUCCGGAUUUAUUGGGUUUAACGGGUGCGUAGGCGGGCAUUUAAGCCGGCGGUCAAAUGUCGGGGCUCAACCCCGGCAUGCCGUCGGACAUGGGUGCCUUGAGUGGGCGAGAAGUAUGCGGAAUGCGUGGUGUAGCGGUGAAAUGCAUAGAUAUCACGCAGAACCCCGAUUGCGAAGGCAGCAUACCGGCGCCCUACUGACGCUGAGGCACGAAAGUGCGGGUAUCGAACAGGAUUAGAUACCCGGGUAGUC
RNAcentral lists this ribosomal RNA (460 nucleotides) under uncultured bacterium. RNAcentral describes it as "partial 16S ribosomal RNA". It matches the Rfam family "Bacterial small subunit ribosomal RNA", at positions 338 to 795 of the family's 1533-position model. The record is from RNAcentral.